This 62-nucleotide transfer RNA is filed under the name Penthimia melanocephala. Its description in RNAcentral is "tRNA-Val". Lineage: Eukaryota; Metazoa; Arthropoda; Insecta; Hemiptera; Cicadellidae. The record is from RNAcentral. RNAcentral also lists the same sequence under 1 other name.
UGAGUUAUAGCUUAUAUAAAGCUUAUUACUUACAUUAAUACGAAAAUUUUUAUUUAACUCUA